GACGGGGGGUCCAAGCGUUGUUCGGAAUCAUUGGGCGUAAAGCGUGUGCAGGUGGUUUUGUAAGUUGGAUGUGAAAGCCCCGGGCUUAACCCGGGAAGUGCAUUCAAAACUGCAAAACUUGAGUAUGGAAGAGGGUCGUGGAAUUCCUGGUGUAGUGGUGAAAUACGUAGAUAUCAGGAGGAACACCUGUGGCGAAAGCGGCGCACUGGACCACAACUGACGCUGAGGCGCGAAAGCUAGGGGAGCAAACAGG
This 253-nucleotide ribosomal RNA is filed under the name uncultured bacterium. Its description in RNAcentral is "partial 16S ribosomal RNA". It matches the Rfam family "Bacterial small subunit ribosomal RNA", at positions 524 to 776 of the family's 1533-position model. The record is from RNAcentral.